Molecule: long non-coding RNA, 1682 nt
Filed under: Mytilus galloprovincialis (Mediterranean mussel)
Lineage: Eukaryota; Metazoa; Mollusca; Bivalvia; Mytilida; Mytilidae
Source: RNAcentral
AAAAAUAUUAUUACUGACACCUUUCUUCAUUUCUUAUAUUGCAUAUUUUAACACUGAGGAAAUGGAGACAUAGACACGUCCUGUAUGCACUUUGGUUUCACCAGAUUUACAACAAAAGGAUUAGACAUUAUCAACAUGAUCAAGUUCUUCAUUUUACUUUGGAUGUGGCAUUACAGCUUGACUUACUUGGCAUGGACAAAUAAUUUCCACUAUUGUUUAUUAAACUUUACAUUUAUUCAACUGUACCCCAGUCGUACCUACAUAUUAUACAGAGCAUGAACAUUGCCAGUAUUCUUAUCAUAGUAUCACCAACUUAUCAGUGGUUUAAAGCACAUUCAGCAACUGGUUCUCACAUUUAUCAAGUUCAGAAUGAUCCCAUGUUUUCAAACAGGAUUACAUUACAGACAUGGCAGAUAUUCACUUUUUUUUUAAAUGAGACUCAAUGCAUUUCAACAUGGACAUAAGUGUAUAUAUCAGUUCCUUUAUCUGUGUGGACAUAUUAUUUCUCCAACCAAUCAAUCAGAUCAUGUAGCACAAUUAGCUUAUUGACUACAAGGCAGUAUUACAGCCUCAUCAGUGCCUGUGCAAACAUUCCAGAAGUAUGUUACUGAUUAUGAACCAAAAUUGUAAACCUACUCCGUAAAUCGUGAUGUACCAUAAAGGACAAACUACAGCUUCAUCAGUGCCCAAGCAGUCCAGAAGUAUGUUAAAGCGAACAUGAUUGUAAACCUACUCCAUAACUCGGGAUGUAGCUAAUUCCAGCAACUUGAAUCCUUAAAAUUGGACAACAUACACUUUUUAAAUAGACAACUUUACAUUUAAAAUAUGUCAAAACCAAGAAUCUAUACAGUUUUCCUAUUAAUUUAGAUAUUAUAGAGAUUGUUUAUAUCUUCUUAUUGAUGUUAAAGAUAUUAAUAUUUUGGGAUAUAGUGAUGUUUACUGUAGAGUAUUUGUAUUUUAAACUUUUUUUUUACUCACACAAUGUUUAAAUUGCAGAUGGCAGUAUACAUAGCAUUUAAUACUACAUCUACCCCAGAAUCUAACAGUACUUUAUAGCUGUGAAAUUUGACAAACACCUCUAAAAAAUUAUUAAUUAUAUAGCUGCAUAUUAUAACAUCUUAUUCAAUGAUGAGAGCUUUUAAGCCUGAAAAGUAUUAUUUUAUAAUUGCCUCAACUGAACAGAGUGGCAUUUUCUUCACAAAUUUGUUUAGGAAAAUUUAUCAUGUUUGAAUAAUGAAUUUAUAGUUCUCAUGCCUGUAUGGUAAUCUACUAGCACGUAGGAUAUCCCCAUGCAUACCUUGCAUACAAACAUCUACAAAUGAGAUGCCAAGUCUCACCUCUUCGUGGAGAAUCCUCGCUCCACAUUCCCUAAACUAGCAGAUUGUUAUACAGGCAGUUUCUCCCCCACUCUGAAUACUGAAUGCAUUUCUUCUAAUGUUCAAAUCUAUUACCAACCAAUCUGGUGCAGUUGUUGCAUUUCAGAAACUGAUACUGAAACACUCUAUCAUUGAUAUACUGAAUAUCAUUUUUAUAGCAUUCUCAUCAUUGAAUAUACUGAAUAUCAUUUUUAUAGCAUUCUAAUCAUUGAAUAUACUGAAUAUCAUUUUUAUAGCAUUCUAAUCAUUGAAUAUACUGAAUAUCAUUUUUUUAGCAUUCUUAUUAUUGAAUAUACUGAAUAUCAU